This 341-nucleotide RNase P RNA is filed under the name Oscillospiraceae bacterium. RNAcentral describes it as "RNase P RNA component class A". It matches the Rfam family "Bacterial RNase P class A". Rfam says of the family: Ribonuclease P (RNase P) is a ubiquitous endoribonuclease, found in archaea, bacteria and eukarya as well as chloroplasts and mitochondria. Its best characterised activity is the generation of mature 5'-ends of tRNAs by cleaving the 5'-leader elements of precursor-tRNAs. Cellular RNase Ps are ribonucleoproteins. RNAcentral also lists the same sequence under 1 other name. Lineage: Bacteria; Bacillati; Bacillota; Clostridia; Eubacteriales; Oscillospiraceae. The record is from RNAcentral.
CGAGUAAGCCAGACAGUCGCGGGGACAAGGCGAAAGCCUGUUCAUGAGGAAAGUCCGGGCUCCACAGGGCAAGGAUAACGGGUAACGCCCGCCGAAGGCGACUUCAGGAAAAGUGCAACAGAGAUAUACCGCCCCUUUGGGGGUAAGGGUGGAAAGGCGAGGUAAGAGCUCACCCAUCGGCUCGAGAGUGUCCGAUGCUGUAAACUCUAUCCGGAGCAACACCGGUAUGGGAGCAAUAGGGCGGCCCGUCCGCUCCCGGGGUGGCUGAAGCGCACCGGCAACGGCGCGCUUAGAUAGAUGACUGUCAAAUACAGAACCCGGCUUACAGACUUGCUCGCGCA